CGGGGGGCUGCAUCAGUGAGGAAUAUUGCACAAUGGGGGGAACCCUGAUGCAGCAACGCCGCGUGGAGGAUGACGCAUUUCGGUGUGUAAACUCCUUUUAUAUGUCAAGAAAAUGACGGUAGCAUAUGAAUAAGCACCGGCUAACUCCGUGCCAGCAGCCGCGGUAAUACGGAGGGUACAAGCGUUACUCGGAAUCACUGGGCGUAAAGGACGCGUAGGCGGGUUGGAAAGUCAGGUGUGAAAUCCUACAGCUUAACUGUAGAACUGCACUUGAAACUUCUAAUCUAGAGUAUGGGAGGGGGAGAUGGAAUUAGUGGUGUAGGGGUAAAAUCCGUAGAUAUCACUAGGAAUACCUAAAGCGAAGGCGAUCUCCUGGAACAUUACUGACGCUAAGGCGUGAAAGCGUGGGGAGCAAACAGGAUUAGAUACCCCAGUAGUC
This 439-nucleotide ribosomal RNA is filed under the name uncultured bacterium. RNAcentral's name for it is "partial 16S ribosomal RNA". It matches the Rfam family "Bacterial small subunit ribosomal RNA", at positions 339 to 795 of the family's 1533-position model. The record is from RNAcentral.